UAGAGUUUGAUCCUGGCUCAGGAUGAACGCUAGCUACAGGCUUAACACAUGCAAGUCGAGGGGAAACGAUUGCGGUGCUUGCACCGCAAGGCGUCGACCGGCGCACGGGUGAGUAACGCGUAUCCAACCUGGCCCCAAGUAAGGGAUAAUCCAUAGAAAUGUGGUCUAAUACCUUAUGUGGUCAGACGAUGACAUCAGACUUUGACUAAAGAUUCAUCGCUUGGGGAUGGGGAUGCGUCUGAUUAGGCAGUAGGCGGGGCAACGGCCCACCUAACCGACGAUCAGUAGGGGUUCUGAGAGGAAAGUCCCCCACAUUGGAACUGAGACACGGUCCAAACUCCUACGGGAGGCAGCAGUGAGGAAUAUUGGUCAAUGGGCGCGAGCCUGAACCAGCCAAGUAGCGUGCAGGACGACGGCCCUAUGGGUUGUAAACUGCUUUUGUGCGGGGAUAAAGUACGUGACGUGUCAUGUAUUGCAGGUACCGCACGAAUAAGGACCGGCUAAUUCCGUGCCAGCAGCCGCGGUAAUACGGAAGGUCCGGGCGUUAUCCGGAUUUAUUGGGUUUAAAGGGAGCGCAGGCCGCCCGAUAAGCGUGUUGUGAAAUGUAGGCGCUCAACGUCUGACUUGCAGCGCGAACUGUGGGGCUUGAGUACGCACAACGUUGGCGGAAUUUGCCGUGUAGCGGUGAAAUGCUUAGAUAUGACGAAGAACUCCGAUUGCGUAGGCAGCUGACGGGGGCGCAACUGACGCUCAUGCUCGAAAGUGCGGGUAUCGAACGAGGAUUUGAUACCCUGGUAGUCCGCACGGU
RNAcentral lists this ribosomal RNA (808 nucleotides) under uncultured bacterium. RNAcentral's name for it is "bacterial SSU rRNA". It matches the Rfam family "Bacterial small subunit ribosomal RNA", at positions 1 to 803 of the family's 1533-position model. The record is from RNAcentral.